UACGUAGGGUGCGAGCGUUGCCCGGAUUUAUUGGGCGUAAAGGGCGCGUAGGCGGCCACGCACGUCCGUUGUGAAAUCGCCCGGCUCAACUGGGCGGGGUCAGCGGAUACGGUGUGGCUAGAGCAAGCUAGGGGGCAAUGGAAUUCCCGGUGUAGUGGUGGAAUGCGUAGAUAUCGGGAGGAACACCAGUGGCGAAGGCGGUUGCCUGGAGCUUUGCUGACGCUGAUGCGCGAAAGCGUGGGGAUCAAACAGG
This 253-nucleotide ribosomal RNA is filed under the name uncultured bacterium. RNAcentral describes it as "partial 16S ribosomal RNA". It matches the Rfam family "Bacterial small subunit ribosomal RNA", at positions 524 to 776 of the family's 1533-position model. The record is from RNAcentral.